CAAUAGCGUAUAUUAAAGUUGUUGCGGUUAAAAAGCUCGUAGUUGGAGUUCUGCCAGGUGCCGCCUGUCCGCCCCAGUGGUGGGUACGUGGCGCGCAUUUGGCCCUUUCAAGGGGAGCGUAUCUGCACUUUAUUGUGUGGUGCGGGAUCCUUGACUUUUACUUUGAGGAAAUAGGAGUGUUCCAAGCAGGCUCUCGUCGUGCACAGCUCAGCAUGGAAUAAUAGCAUUGGACCUCGAUUCUAAGCUGUUGGUUGCCAGAAGCGAGGUAAUGAUGAAGAGGGAUAGUUGGGGGCAUUCGUAUUUAACUGUCAGGGGUGAAAUUCUUGGAUUUGUUAAAGACGGACUACUGCGAAAGCAUCUGCCAUGGAUGUUUUCAUUGA
RNAcentral lists this ribosomal RNA (380 nucleotides) under uncultured eukaryote. RNAcentral describes it as "partial 18S ribosomal RNA". It matches the Rfam family "Eukaryotic small subunit ribosomal RNA", at positions 592 to 976 of the family's 1831-position model. The record is from RNAcentral.